Long non-coding RNA from Lactuca sativa (garden lettuce), 684 nucleotides. RefSeq lists it as uncharacterized. The record is from RefSeq and is a predicted model, not a curated record. Lineage: Eukaryota; Viridiplantae; Streptophyta; Magnoliopsida; Asterales; Asteraceae.
CACUGAUUUCACAGCUCAAACCCAAUUCAUCACUACCCAGCCGCCCCGUCCAUACAUGCAACCUUCGAUGGCCUUGACACAACGAUCCCUCCUCGUGAUCAAUUAUGAGCCGCCGACACCACCGACUGUUGCUUGCGUCGCCCCAGAACGACUCUCCCUUUUCUAUUUAGUCAUAGCGCAAGAUAGGGGACGACAACGAUGGGGAGGAGGAAUGCCAGUCGAAACAUGGCAUGCAUUAUGUUUGGUGGUUGAUGACGUUAAGAAGAUGUUCGACUGAGAAAGAUUGGUUUCUAUUUUAUUCUUGAUCAGCUAUAAUGGUGUAACCAAACCCAUACUCCAGGUAUUCGAUGAAAACCCCAGUUGAAGUGACAAUGUUUAAAAACAACAUUUAACCAGUUUUUGGGGGCGUAUUGAAGUCUUUUUUAAAUAAAUAUUUAACUGACUAAGCAAUGUUUUUGGUGGUGUUAGAUUGUUCUUACAGAGAUGAAACCAAUACGACAUUUGAGAACAUAUAUCCUGUGCUUACAGAAUUCAGAAAGAACCAGCAGUGAUUCUUGAUUUGACCUGCCAUCGGACUUUUAGAGUUUUAGUGGUAUAAGGAAAGGUAAGUGUAAAUAUGAUGUUGGGAAUGGAUAUGGAAUGGAAAUGAAGCCAAAUGCCCACUUUUUCUUUUUUUUUUUUUCA